RNAcentral lists this ribosomal RNA (1108 nucleotides) under uncultured bacterium. RNAcentral describes it as "bacterial SSU rRNA". It matches the Rfam family "Bacterial small subunit ribosomal RNA", at positions 1 to 1112 of the family's 1533-position model. The record is from RNAcentral.
CGCAUCUAGAUUAGACUUUGAUCCUGGCUCAGGACGAACGCUGGCGGCGUGCCUAACACAUGCAAGUCGAGCGGGGAACCCCUUCGGGGGUUUCUAGCGGCGGACGGGUGAGUAACGCGUGAGCAACCUUUCCUUCACAGGGGGAUAACGCAGCGAAAGCUGUGCUAAUACCGCUUAAGACCACAGAGUCGCAUGGCUUAGGGGUCAAAGGAGCAAUCCGGUGAAGGGUGGGCUCGCGUCUGAUUAGCUAGUUGGCGGGGUAAAGGCCCACCAAGGCGACGAUCAGUAGCCGACCUGAGAGGGUGAUCGGCCACACUGGGACUGAGACACGGCCCAGACUCCUACGGGAGGCAGCAGUGGGGAAUAUUGGGCAAUGGGGGAAACCCUGACCCAGCAACGCCGCGUGAGGGAAGAAGGUUUUCGGAUCGUAAACCUCUGUCCUUGGGGACGAAGAAGUGACGGUACCCAAGGAGGAAGCCCCGGCUAACUACGUGCCAGCAGCCGCGGUAAUACGUAGGGGGCAAGCGUUGUCCGGAAUGAUUGGGCGUAAAGGGCGCGUAGGCGGCCUGUUAAGUCUGGAGUGAAAGUCCUGCUUUCAAGGUGGGAAUUGCUUUGGAAACUGGCGGGCUGGAGUGCAGGAGAGGUUAGCGGAAUUCCCGGUGUAGCGGUGAAAUGCGUAGAGAUCGGGAGGAACACCAGUGGCGAAGCGGCUAACUGGACUGUAACUGACGCUGAGGCGCGAAAGUGUGGGGAGCAAACAGGAUUAGAUACCCUGGUAGUCCACACGGUAAACGAUGAAUGCUAGGUGUAGGGGGUAUCGACCCCUUCUGUGCCGGAUCAACACAAUAAGCAUUCCGCCUGGGGAGUACGGCCGCAAGGUUGAAACUCAAAGGAAUUGACGGGGGCCCGCACAAGCAGCGGACAUGUGGUUUAAUUCGAAGCAACGCGAAAACCUUACCAGGUCUUGACAUCCAGUUUAAGCUUGUAGAGAUACAGGGGCCUUGCAAACUGAGACAGGUGGUGCAUGGUCGUCAGCUCUGCGAGAUGUUGGGUAAGUCCGCACAGCAUUUCAUCUACGUAAGGCGCUCACUGCGAAACCCUCCGGGUU